This 497-nucleotide ribosomal RNA is filed under the name uncultured bacterium. RNAcentral's name for it is "partial 16S ribosomal RNA". It matches the Rfam family "Bacterial small subunit ribosomal RNA", at positions 28 to 507 of the family's 1533-position model. The record is from RNAcentral.
GAUGAACGCUGGCGGCGUGCCUAAUACAUGCAAGUCGAGCGAACAGACGAGGAGCUUGCUCCUCUGACGUUAGCGGCGGACGGGUGAGUAACACGUGGAUAACCUACCUAUAAGACUGGGAUAACUUCGGGAAACCGGAGCUAAUACCGGAUAAUAUAUUGAACCGCAUGGUUCAAUAGUGAAAGACGGUUUUGCUGUCACUUAUAGAUGGAUCCGCGCCGCAUUAGCUAGUUGGUAAGGUAACGGCUUACCAAGGCAACGAUGCGUAGCCGACCUGAGAGGGUGAUCGGCCACACUGGAACUGAGACACGGUCCAGACUCCUACGGGAGGCAGCAGUAGGGAAUCUUCCGCAAUGGGCGAAAGCCUGACGGUGCAACGCCGCGUGAGUGAUGAAGGUCUUCGGAUCGUAAAACUCUGUUAUUAGGGAAGAACAAAUGUGUAAGUAACUAUGCUCGUCUUGACGGUACCUAAUCAGAAAGCCACGGCUAACUACGUG